UGCGCAGGCGGUCUUGUAAGACAGAUGUGAAAUCCCCGGGCUUAACCUGGGAACUGCAUUUGUGACUGCAAGGCUGGAGUACGGCAGAGGGGGAUGGAAUUCCGCGUGUAGCAGUGAAAUGCGUAGAUAUGCGGAGGAACACCGAUGGCGAAGGCAAUCCCCUGGGCCUGUACUGACGCUCAUGCACGAAAGCGUGGGGAGCAAACAGGAUUAGAUACCCUGGUAGUCCACGCCCUAAACGAUGUCAACUGGUUGUUGGGUCUUCACUGACUCAGUAACGAAGCUAACGCGUGAAGUUGACCGCCUGGGGAGUACGGCCGCAAGGUUGAA
Molecule: ribosomal RNA, 330 nt
Filed under: uncultured bacterium
Lineage: Bacteria
Description: bacterial SSU rRNA
Rfam family: Bacterial small subunit ribosomal RNA
Source: RNAcentral